Long non-coding RNA from Dermacentor silvarum, 257 nucleotides. RefSeq lists it as uncharacterized. Lineage: Eukaryota; Metazoa; Arthropoda; Arachnida; Ixodida; Ixodidae. The transcript has 3 exons. The record is from RefSeq and is a predicted model, not a curated record.
AGUGGCUCCGAGGACGGCUGGACUAACGCUUCGGAUUGCACCGGUUAAUACUGAAGCCCCUAUUACAACUGGUACGGUAUGACAUCUCCCCCCUGGCGUUAUGCGAGUUCUACUGUAAAACCAAGUGUUCCGCGGAGUCUGGUGACAGGCCCAUUGAGCUCCCUAUUGUUGUGCGGGACCCCAGCGGAGGAGUUACCAACACAACCCAAAUCGCGGCGGACGGAGCUGGGGGCCACGGGGACGCCGACCGCGAUAUC